Long non-coding RNA from Otolemur garnettii (small-eared galago), 611 nucleotides. RefSeq lists it as uncharacterized. The transcript is spliced from 3 exons. NCBI's taxonomy places the organism in Eukaryota, Metazoa, Chordata, Mammalia, Primates, Galagidae. The record is from RefSeq and is a predicted model, not a curated record.
GUGCAGCAGAGAAAGAUGACACUUUCUUGCCUCCUUUGGCGCUUAAAAAAUAACAAGCUUGAAUUCAGAAAGCUGCAGUUUCCCCACCCCUCAAAACUUCUUGGCUAAGAUUUCAUAGCUGUUAAAAACUGGGUACAGAUGGGAUUCAAAAGUCCAGCUGACUCUGAGAUUAAUACAUUAACACAAUGUUCUAUUUGCCCUUGCCAGGUCCUUUAGUUCAUACAAAGGUGAAUGGUCCUCGUGAAGGUUGUCACCCAGCAGAAGGGAGCAGAUCCUUAAACAAACAGGAAUCGCAAAUUGAAACAAAGGCGAUACCACUGCAUCCCUAUGAGAACGGCUGAAAUCCCAAAUAAAAAGAAAACCCGACAACAGCAAAUGCCCGAAGGAGCCACAGGAGCCCUCAUUUACGCUUGGUGGAAACGCAAAAUGGUACAGCCACUUUGGAAGACAGGGAAUUCUACGGAGAACCCUGAUGUAGGAGACAGAAGCGAACAGAAGCUGCUGUAUUAGCAGUGGAGAGUGGGAAGGCCACCGCCCCGUCUAUACGUCUGCAGCAGCACCCGCAGAGGUAGUGAGGAAUUCUAGGCAUCCAAGGAACACAGUUUGAAAGU